GUUAUGGGCCCAGAUAAAAUGGAAGAAGAAAAAAAUCAUGUUUUUGUCUUUGAAGGGUUUAAUUUUAGCAACUGGCGUUUUGGAAUGGAAACUAUGUUGGAUCAAAAUGAUUUAUUAAGUUUUCUCAAGAUUUCAGCAAGUGAAUGCCUGGAAGUAAUAAUUAAGGAUGAAGACGAGGCUGAAGAAGUUGAUUCCAAAAGAAAAGAUCUAGAAUGUCUUUGGAAGUAGGAAAAAAGGUGCAAACAUCUUAUAAUUCAGAGAAUAUCAGAUGGUUAUCUAGAAUAUGUGAGAGAUAAAGAGACACUGAAGGAAAUGUGGGCUGCAUUAAUAUCAACAUUUGAAAGGAAAGGAAUC
RNAcentral lists this long non-coding RNA (354 nucleotides) under Androctonus crassicauda. The record is from RNAcentral. Lineage: Eukaryota; Metazoa; Arthropoda; Arachnida; Scorpiones; Buthidae.